GAAGUCGUUAAGUCAUUACUGUUUUCUUGUUUCUUUCUGAUUAAGCAACGUUAUUAGUAUGGUGAUCAGAUGUUCGGGUCAAUGUUCCUUCAAACGUCCACGCAUUGUAGCAAUGUAUGCCCUGCAGAACUGAUGAUAAUCAAAAUUGUAGCAAUGUUUUCUUGUUUCUUUCUGAUUAAGCAACGUUAUUAGUAUGGUGAUCAGAUGUUCGGGUCAAUGUUCCUUCAAACGUCCACGCAUUGUAGCAAUGUAUGCCCUGCAGAACUGAUGAUAAUCAAAAUUGUUUUGGCAGCCUCAAAUAAAAGUACCUGCAAGCAUUAUUCUUGUAGAUUUAGCUGACAAUCAUUUAUGUGCUUGAG
RNAcentral lists this long non-coding RNA (359 nucleotides) under Malus domestica (apple). RNAcentral's name for it is "long non-coding RNA (MDOM_LNC002477)". Lineage: Eukaryota; Viridiplantae; Streptophyta; Magnoliopsida; Rosales; Rosaceae. The record is from RNAcentral.